This 253-nucleotide ribosomal RNA is filed under the name uncultured bacterium. RNAcentral describes it as "partial 16S ribosomal RNA". It matches the Rfam family "Bacterial small subunit ribosomal RNA", at positions 524 to 776 of the family's 1533-position model. The record is from RNAcentral.
UACGUAGGGGGCAAGCGUUGUCCGGAUUUAUUGGGCGGAAAGAGCGUGUAGGCGGCCAGAUAGGUCAGCUGUGAAAACUCGAGGCUCAACCUCGAGACGUCGGUUGAAACCAUCUGGCUAGAGUCCGGAAGAGGAGAGUGGAAUUCCCGGUGUAGCGGUGAAAUGCGCAGAUAUCGGGAAGAACACCCGUGGCGAAGGCGGCUCUCUGGGACGGUACUGACGCUGAGACGCGAAAGCGUGGGGAGCGAACAGG